RNAcentral lists this ribosomal RNA (253 nucleotides) under uncultured bacterium. RNAcentral describes it as "partial 16S ribosomal RNA". It matches the Rfam family "Bacterial small subunit ribosomal RNA", at positions 524 to 776 of the family's 1533-position model. The record is from RNAcentral.
UACGGAGGGUGCAAGCGUUAUCCGGAAUCACUGGGUUUAAAGGGAGCGUAGGCGGGCUAACAAGUCUGGGGUGAAAUGCCGCGGCUCAACCGUGGAACUGCCUCAGAUACUGUCGGCCUCGAGGGAGAUAGGGGCAUGCGGAACUAACGGUGGAGCGGUGAAAUGCGUUGAUAUCGUUAGGAACUCCGGUGGCGAAAGCGGCGUGCUGGAUCUCUUCUGACGCUGAGGCUCGAAAGCUAGGGGAGCAAACGGG